This is a non-coding RNA of Arachis ipaensis, 158 nucleotides long. The record is from RefSeq and is a predicted model, not a curated record. Lineage: Eukaryota; Viridiplantae; Streptophyta; Magnoliopsida; Fabales; Fabaceae.
UGCUACUUAUUGCGGUUGCUGUCGUUCUGAUUUCUGUGGGUUUCAACAUUGAGUGACACAGUUUCGAAGACCCAGUUUGAAGUUGCGGGAGAUUAUAGAAUUUACUUAUGAGUUAAGUUACUUUCAUAGAGUUCCCUCCCUCUUAUUGCUUAACAUUU